Molecule: ribosomal RNA, 460 nt
Filed under: uncultured bacterium
Lineage: Bacteria
Description: partial 16S ribosomal RNA
Rfam family: Bacterial small subunit ribosomal RNA
Source: RNAcentral
CCUACGGGUGGCAGCAGUGAGGAAUAUUGGUCAAUGGACGAGAGUCUGAACGAGCCAAGUAGCGUGAAGGAUGACUGCCCUCUGGGUUGUAAACUUCUUUUAUAAAGGAAUACAACGAGGCACGUGUGCCUUUUUGCAUGUACUUUAUGCAUAAGGAUCGGGUAACUCCGUGCCAGGGGCCGCGGUAAUACGGAUGAUCCGAGCCUUAUCCGGGUUUAUUGGUUUUAAAGGGAGCGUAGAUGGGUUGUGAAAGCAGUUUGGCAAGUGUGCGGCUCAACCGUAAAAUUGAAAUGGAUACUGGCAGACUGGAGUACAGAUGAGGUAGGCGGAAUUCGUGGUGUAGCGGUGAAAUGCGUAGAUAUAACGAAGAACCCCGAUUGCGAAGGCAGCUUACUAAACUGUGACUGACAUUGAUGCUCGAAAGUGUGGGUAUCAAACAGGAUUAGAUACCCGGGUAGUC